CGUAGGGGCGUGGAGUGUAAAUGGGAGCGAGAGAAGCAGGAGAAAACAGAAAAAGGAGGAUGUUUGCUAGUUACCAAUCACAGUUUGCUGGGUCGUCAGGGAGGAAGGAGUGGUGGAUUUCAGCCUCGGCCUCCGGGUAGCUAAGAUCAAACACAGAAACCACCUUCAGGUCCUCACACUGGCUGCAGGAACAUGAGUGCUAUCAAGAUGCAGCUGUCCACAGGGAGACCUAGCCCUGCUUGAGGCAGGUUUCCAUGUCACAGCGUUACUUCCCCCCACGUGACACGACCCUAUCUUUCAAGUGGUACACGUAUGCCCAAGAGAACAGAGGAAACCUAAGAACGCACGCGCCCUGUAC
Molecule: long non-coding RNA, 358 nt
Filed under: Gallus gallus (chicken)
Lineage: Eukaryota; Metazoa; Chordata; Aves; Galliformes; Phasianidae
Source: RNAcentral